This 550-nucleotide ribosomal RNA is filed under the name uncultured bacterium. RNAcentral's name for it is "bacterial SSU rRNA". It matches the Rfam family "Bacterial small subunit ribosomal RNA", at positions 355 to 896 of the family's 1533-position model. The record is from RNAcentral.
UGGGGAAUAUUGGACAAUGGGGGGAACCCUGAUCCAGCCAUGCCGCGUGUGUGAAGAAGGCCUUAUGGUUGUAAAGCACUUUAAGCGAGGAGGAGGGUACUGGUAUUAAUACUACCAGGUACUGGACGUUACUCGCAGAAUAAGCACCGGCUAACUCUGUGCCAGCAGCCGCGGUAAUACAGAGGGUGCGAGCGUUAAUCGGAUUUACUGGGCGUAAAGCGUGCGUAGGCGGCUAAUUGAGUCGGAUGUGAAAUCCCCGAGCUUAACUUGGGAAUUGCAUUCGAUACUGGUUAGCUAGAGUGUGGGAGAGGAUGGUAGAAUUCCAGGUGUAGCGGUGAAAUGCGUAGAGAUCUGGAGGAAUACCGAUGGCGAAGGCAGCCAUCUGGCCUAACACUGACGCUGAGGUACGAAAGCAUGGGGAGCAAACAGGAUUAGAUACCCUGGUAGUCCAUGCCGUAAACGAUGUCUACUAGCCGUUGGUCUCUUUGAGGGAUUAGUGGCGCAGCUAACGCGAUAAGUAGACCGCCUGGGGAGUACGGUCGCAAGACUA